RNAcentral lists this unclassified non-coding RNA (357 nucleotides) under soil metagenome. RNAcentral's name for it is "partial contains 5.8S ribosomal RNA, internal transcribed spacer 2, and large subunit ribosomal RNA". The stretch from base 1 to 120 matches the Rfam family "5.8S ribosomal RNA", at positions 35 to 154 of the family's 154-position model. The record is from RNAcentral.
GAUGAAGAACGCAGCGAAAUGCGAUAAGUAAUGUGAAUUGCAGAAUUCAGUGAAUCAUCGAAUCUUUGAACGCACAUUGCGCCCGCUGGUAUUCCGGCGGGCAUGCCUGUUCGAGCGUCAUUUCAACCCUCAAGCUCUCCGGAGUUUGGUGUUGGGGCGCCUGGGGCUUUUCGACCUCAGGGCCCUCAAGUCCAUCGGCGGGACCGCCAGGACACUGAGCGCAGUAGUAUUAUUUCGCUCGGUAGGAUCUUCCACGGCGGGUCGAUCUGGCCGCUAAACCCCCCAAUUCUCACCAAAGGUUGGCCUCGGAUCAGGUAGGAAUACCCGCUGAACUUAAGCAUAUCAAUAAGCGGAGGA